Molecule: non-coding RNA, 187 nt
Organism: Phycisphaerae bacterium
Lineage: Bacteria; Pseudomonadati; Planctomycetota; Phycisphaerae
Source: Rfam
GAGCUUCUGCGGUGUUUGUUACGGUCAGCUUAAUUGGAGAACCGAUGAAGUUUAUAUAGGGAAGCUCGUUAGCCUUGCGGUGAGAUAAUGCCUGAAAAAACGGGACUUUCAAACUGCUUGGCCGGCUGCCCACGUUGAUUGCAAGGGUUCUUGCAAUCGCUUUCCGAACGGCACACGCGGAAGUUAG